UACCCUUACUUAAUAUCUCAUACUACUCUUUCGAUACAUAAUCUAAUGUUUAAAAAAACAAUUCUUAUAUCUAUAUCGAAUUCGAACUGCCAUGCUAUUAUUACUUAAUAUUUAUAUUUCAAUAUUUCAUAUGGCGAAGGCAUAGUUUUCUUUUUUCUUUCAAAUAAAAACCCAUUGGCGCCAAGCAUGAGGGAAUGCUAAACGUUUGGUAAUUUUUCCUCCAACUAGGAUAAAAGAUGCCAUUGAAGCAGCUAAUCCCAUGCAUACUGUUUGUACAUCUGGUCGCACAAAUUGCAUAGUAUCAUAAAUAGCUAUUCCGGGUAUUACCCAUCCCCCAGGAGAGUUUAUAAACAAAUACAAAUCUUUAGUCUCGCUCUCUAUACUGAGAUAUACCAUAAGACCAAUAAGUUGAUUCGAGAUCUCGCUAUCAACAUCUUGACCUAAAAAAAGUAAUCUUUCUCGAUAAAGUCGGUUGAUUGAGAUAAAUUUCUAUCUUCUAGGAACCGUACAUGCACCUUUUGAUGCAUACGGUUCAACAAAAAUCGAUGAAAAUAAAAUAAAGAAUCAAUGUGUAGAUUCCAACCUUCCUUUUUUGAUAGUGAGUACUUUUUAACUUAACUCUUUUUUUUUUCUAAUGUCUAAUGCUAAUGAAAGGGCUUUUCUUCUAGUUUUCAAGAAAGAUGAGUUUUAACCCGUUUACCUAUAAAAUAAAAAAAGGUUUCCCUAUAAAGAUAAAAAAAAUUAUUAAACUUAUCAAACAAACUUCUCAUUGAUGUAUUUUUUCAUCGAGAUUCAAUUCAAAUCACGACGGCAUUAUCUUGUUCCUGAAUGGGUUUCUUCAAUUCUUUUAGGUUUGUGCUCUACUCCGAGUAAAGAUUUUCCCGAUUUUUAUUUGCACAUAUAGAGCAAAUGCCCCAAUACCGCGUCUUUUUGUUACAACUUCUUUUUUUUUAUUUAAUUCAUUUCACGUCUUCUGCCAAUUAUUUGACAUAUUCAUUAUUAUAUUAUUCGAUUGAGUAUGAUUAGCAGUUUGAAAUUAUUUCAACUUCAUAAUUAUUUCAACUUCAUAAAUAGAAUAUGAUACAAGCAGUAAUUGUAAUAGAUAUAUUACCAAUUGGGUUCUUCUAAACGGAGCCUGGAUACUUCAUUUUUUUGGUCCAAACAAGCCAACCAUAAAUUAUUCUAAUUGAUAUAUAUAAUAUUAAUCUGAGUACCUCAAAAGCAUAGAUCUAAUUGGACUUCAUUGCAUUUCACGCUCCAAAUUUUGGAUGAUUUAAUCAAUCUUUCUUGGGUGAAACCGAGGAUAUCUCAAUCGGGGGAGAGAACGGGGGAAUCCCCUAUGACCCAAUAUAUCUGACAAGUCACACUAUACGUCAAUCCAAAUGGAAUCGUCUUCCGCAGGAUUUCGAAAAGGGACUUUUGGAACACCAAUAGGCAUUAAAUGAUAGAAAAAUUU
Molecule: long non-coding RNA, 1456 nt
Filed under: Ricinus communis (castor bean)
Lineage: Eukaryota; Viridiplantae; Streptophyta; Magnoliopsida; Malpighiales; Euphorbiaceae
Description: long non-coding RNA (RCOM_LNC003376)
Source: RNAcentral